Molecule: ribosomal RNA, 496 nt
Filed under: uncultured bacterium
Lineage: Bacteria
Description: partial 16S ribosomal RNA
Rfam family: Bacterial small subunit ribosomal RNA
Source: RNAcentral
AUGAACGCUGGCGGCGUGCCUAAUACAUGCAGGUCGAGCGAACAGACGAGGAGCUUGCUCCUCUGACGUUAGCGGCGGACGGGUGAGUAACACGUGGAUAACCUACCUAUAAGACUGGGAUAACUUCGGGAAACCGGAGCUAAUACCGGAUAAUAUAUUGAACCGCAUGGUUCAAUAGUGAAAGACGGUUUUGCUGUCACUUAUAGAUGGAUCCGCGCCGCAUUAGCUAGUUGGUAAGGUAACGGCUUACCAAGGCAACGAUGCGUAGCCGACCUGAGAGGGUGAUCGGCCACACUGGAACUGAGACACGGUCCAGACUCCUACGGGAGGCAGCAGUAGGGAAUCUUCCGCAACGGGCGAAAGCCUGACGGAGCAACGCCGCGUGAGUGAUGAAGGUCUUCGGAUCGUAAAACUCUGUUAUUAGGGAAGAACAAAUGUGUAAGUAACUAUGCACGUCUUGACGGUACCUAAUCAGAAAGCCACGGCUAACUACGUG